UACGGAGGGGGCUAGCGUUGUUCGGAAUUACUGGGCGUAAAGCGCACGUAGGCGGCUUUGUAAGUCAGAGGUGAAAUCCUGGAGCUCAACUCCAGAACUGCCUUUGAUACUGAGGAUCUUGAGUACGGGAGAGGUGAGUGGAACUGCGAGUGUAGAGGUGAAAUUCGUAGAUAUUCGCAAGAACACCAGUGGCGAAGGCGGCUCACUGGCCCGUUACUGACGCUGAGGCACGAAAGCGUGGGGAGCAAACAGG
This 253-nucleotide ribosomal RNA is filed under the name uncultured bacterium. RNAcentral's name for it is "partial 16S ribosomal RNA". It matches the Rfam family "Bacterial small subunit ribosomal RNA", at positions 524 to 776 of the family's 1533-position model. The record is from RNAcentral.